UCGAGCGAAUCUUUGGGAGCUUGCUCCUAAAGGUUAGCGGCGGACGGGUGAGUAACACGUGGGCAACCUGCCUAUAAGACUGGGAUAACUUCGGGAAACCGGAGCUAAUACCGGAUAAUUCUUUUCUACACAUGUAGAAAAGCUAAAAGACGGUUUACGCUGUCACUUAUAGAUGGGCCCGCGGCGCAUUAGCUAGUUGGUGAGGUAACGGCUCACCAAGGCCACGAUGCGUAGCCGACCUGAGAGGGUGAUCGGCCACACUGGGACUGAGACACGGCCCAGACUCCUACGGGAGGCAGCAGUAGGGAAUCUUCCGCAAUGGACGAAAGUCUGACGGAGCAACGCCGCGUGAGUGAUGAAGGUUUUCGGAUCGUAAAACUCUGUUGUUAGGGAAGAACAAGUACGAGAGUAACUGCUCGUACCUUGACGGUACCUAACCAGAAAGCCACGGCUAACUACGUGCCAGCAGCCGCGGUAAUACGUAGGUGGCAAGCGUUGUCCGGAAUUAUUGGGCGUAAAGCGCGCGCAGGCGGUCCUUUAAGUCUGAUGUGAAAGCCCACGGCUCAACCGUGGAGGGUCAUUGGAAACUGGGGGACUUGAGUGCAGGAGAGAAGAGUGGAAUUCCACGUGUAGCGGUGAAAUGCGUAGAGAUGUGGAGGAACACCAGUGGCGAAGGCGACUCUUUGGCCUGUAACUGACGCUGAGGCGCGAAAGCGUGGGGAGCA
This 725-nucleotide ribosomal RNA is filed under the name uncultured bacterium. Its description in RNAcentral is "bacterial SSU rRNA". It matches the Rfam family "Bacterial small subunit ribosomal RNA", at positions 62 to 770 of the family's 1533-position model. The record is from RNAcentral.